RNAcentral lists this microRNA (21 nucleotides) under Selaginella moellendorffii. RNAcentral describes it as "smo-miR1086". The record is from miRBase by way of RNAcentral. Lineage: Eukaryota; Viridiplantae; Streptophyta; Lycopodiopsida; Selaginellales; Selaginellaceae.
UAGUGCCGUGGUCCUUUUGGC